CGCCCAACCCUGAUGCUGGAGAGGAGGAGCUCCCUUUCCGGGAGGGCCAGAUUUUGAAGGUGUUUGGGGACAAGGAUGCUGAUGGCUUCUAUCGGGCGAAUGUGGGGGCCAGACAGGCUAUAUCCCCUGCAACAUGGUGGCUGAAGUGGCUGUGGACAGUCCCACAGGGGAGGCAGCAGCUGUUCCAGCGAGGUUAUUUGUCUCCAGAUGUUGUCCUUGAGGGCACAGGGAAUAGUCCCUUUGUGUACUCCACAACCCACACAGCUGGGCCUCCACCCAAGCCCCGCCGCUCUAAGAAAGCAGAGUUGGAAGGCCCUGCUCAGCCCUUCGCAGGUCCCCCCAAGGUGGUUGCCUCUGCUGCCCUGAAAGCUCCCCACCCCAUGGUAGCUGCAUUUGACUACAACCCCGGGAAAACUCCCCCUAAUAUGGACGUGGAGGCAGAGCUGCCCUUCAGGGCGGGAGAUGUCAUCACUGUGUUUGGGAGCAUGGAUGACGAUGGUUUCUACUAUGGAGAACUGAAUGGACAGAGGGGCCUGGUUCCAUCCAACUUCCUGGGGCCCCCGGGCCUGAGGUAGGCAGCCCAGACAGGGAACCCAGGACACCCCAGGCAGAGAGUCAGAGAACGAGGAGGAGAAGAGUCCAGUGCUAGAUGGAGAUAGAUAUAUGUAGAGAGAGCAACAUGACUGGAUUGGUGCACGAGGACCCGAAGUGCCCCUGGGGCUGGCACUGCUCCUCCAGCCCUGGCAGCCUCCCCAGGACCGAACUGGGGGGCCGCAGGAGCACAGUUGAGAAGGUGCUGGGGUCUCCUGUCCAAAGGGAAGCAGCUCCUCAGGAAACUGGGCUCUGGGAGGAAGGAGUGAAGCUGUGGCCCUUUCUGGAGUGGCCCCUGGAGACACCCAGGUCACUGCUGUGGCUGGACAGGGGAGGCCCUGCCCCGUCCCAGAGCUCCUGGUCUUUGUAGCGUUAACACAGUGGCACUUGGAUGGGAAUCAAAGAGAAUUGGUGAAGGUGGGAGCCUAGGGUGGGUCUUGAGGGGUGCGUCCUCUAGCUGGGCCCCUUCCCCUUGUAGGAGGGAAACUCCUCCCCGCAGUGAGUAACCUGACCGAGCUCACGGAGCCCCAGUGAGACCAGGAUGGGACUCAGGUCUCUUGACUCCCAGUCCACCCACCUAGUCCAAUCCUAGUUUCCCACCAGGCUGUGUAGGUCCCUUCUUUGACCCUCUCUGUACCCAGGACGGAACCCUGAGGGGAGAAGGGGCCUGUCUCCACAGUGGCUCUGGCUGUCCUGAUUGGAAAGCUUGCAUUGGAGUCUCCCGUGGGGGCGGCGGGCGGAACCUUGUAUAUAUGUACAUACUCAGUGCCUCACUCCAGCCCCUCCAUUGCGCCUCAGCCUCCACCGCACAGGCUGGGGAGGGAGAGGGCCAGGCCGGGAAGCGGGCCUCACCCCGCCCCGCUGUGCUCCACCCCUCCCUGCCCCGCCGCCUGGCCCCUGUGCACCCUCCUUGAAACCCAGGGGACCAGGGGGCAGAAAGCAGGAGUUGGGUUUGCCUUAUUUUGCUCAUUGGAUUCAACUUCUCUUUUGCAUUGUUUUCCUCUGACCCCUGUGGGUGUCCAGGGGCUGAGAAUAAGGACAGAUUUAUGCAGCUAUUUUCAUACAUUCCCUGUUCAGAGUGGGUAGGGGCUUCUCCACCCUUCCCAAGCUGCCCAUCCCUCACCCUGGCUGGGUGAAUGUCUCUCUGCAUGUUUCUUUCGCUGUGGUGGGAGAUUGUUUAGAACCCCGCCUCCAUCCUGGUCUCCAGGGGUGUGGAAUGGUGGAGGCA
This 1819-nucleotide long non-coding RNA is filed under the name Heterocephalus glaber (naked mole-rat). Its description in RNAcentral is "lncRNA (ENSHGLG00000034548.1)". The record is from RNAcentral. Lineage: Eukaryota; Metazoa; Chordata; Mammalia; Rodentia; Bathyergidae.